CCUCAGAAACGUACAAAGGAAGUUGACGGGGCCCGGCACAAGCGGUGGAGUAUGUGGUUAAUUCGAUGCAACGCGAAGAACCUUACCUGGUCUUGACAUCCCGGAGACCCUUAGGAAACUAGGGGUGCUUCCAUCUGGAAGAAUCUGGAGACAGGUGCUGCAUGGCUGUCGUCAGCUCGUGUCGUGAGAUGUUGGGUUAAGUCCCGCAACGAGCGCAACCCUUGCCUUUAGUUGCCAGCAGUUCGGCUGGGCACUCUAAAGGGACUGCCGGUGUUAAACCGGAGGAAGGUGGGGAUGACGUCAAGUCCUCAUGGCCUUUAUGACCAGGGUUACACACGUACUACAAUGGCCGAUACAAAGGGCAGCGACACUGCGAGGUGAAGCCAAUCCCGUAAAAUCGGUCUCAGUCCGGAUUGGAGUCUGCAACUCGACUCCAUGAAGUUGGAAUCGCUAGUAAUCGUGGAUCAGCAUGCCACGGUGAAUACGUUCCCGGGCCUU
This 498-nucleotide ribosomal RNA is filed under the name uncultured Desulfobulbus sp. RNAcentral describes it as "bacterial SSU rRNA". It matches the Rfam family "Bacterial small subunit ribosomal RNA", at positions 903 to 1382 of the family's 1533-position model. The record is from RNAcentral. Lineage: Bacteria; Pseudomonadati; Thermodesulfobacteriota; Desulfobulbia; Desulfobulbales; Desulfobulbaceae.